RNAcentral lists this ribosomal RNA (661 nucleotides) under Trametes sp. OTU068 AN-2016. RNAcentral's name for it is "eukaryotic LSU rRNA". The stretch from base 256 to 409 matches the Rfam family "5.8S ribosomal RNA". The record is from RNAcentral. Lineage: Eukaryota; Fungi; Basidiomycota; Agaricomycetes; Polyporales; Polyporaceae.
UCUUGGGUCAUUUAGAGGAAGUAAAAGUCGUAACAAGGUUUCCGUAGGUGAACUGCGGAAGGGAUCAUUAACGAGUUUUGAAACGAGUUGUAGCUGGCCUUCCGAGGCAUGUGCACGCUCUGCUCAUCCACUCUACCCCUGUGCACUUACUGUAGGUUGGCGUGGGCUCCUUAACGGGAGCAUUCUGCCGGCCUAUGUAUACUACAAACACUUUAAAGUAUCAGAAUGUAAACGCGUCUAACGCAUCUAUAAUACAACUUUUAGCAACGGAUCUCUUGGCUCUCGCAUCGAUGAAGAACGCAGCGAAAUGCGAUAAGUAAUGUGAAUUGCAGAAUUCAGUGAAUCAUCGAAUCUUUGAACGCACCUUGCGCUCCUUGGUAUUCCGAGGAGCAUGCCUGUUUGAGUGUCAUGGAAUUCUCAACUUAUAAAUCCUUGUGAUCUAUAAGCUUGGACUUGGAGGCUUGCUGGCCCUUGCGGUCGGCUCCUCUUGAAUGCAUUAGCUCGAUUCCGUACGGAUCGGCUCUCAGUGUGAUAAUUGUCUACGCUGUGACCGUGAAGUGUUUUGGCGAGCUUCUAACCGUCCAUUAGGACAACUUUUUAACAUCUGACCUCAAAUCAGGUAGGACUACCCGCUGAACUUAAGCAUAUCAAUAAGCGGAGG